GAGUACUGACGACGCCAUCUUCGGAGAUGAAGCGCUGAGAGGGAGAGGUUGGUGAGAGAUCAGCGAGUUCAGCGCUAAAAGAACCCGAGUUGGUGAUGUUGGGGUUUCCGUAAGGCGAGUCACCGCGUUCAAGUAGCAACACGGAGGCGUUUUGGGAGAGCGAGGCAGCUAACGGGCAGCCGGCGGUGCCACCUCCGAUGACGAUGUAGUCGUAGUAGGACACUGGUUUUGCUGCAGUUGCGUUGCGCAUGAAACUGUAGUUCGGAGCUGCUGUGUACACAAAAAGUGACGUAUAAAAUAUGGGGAUCAUAGAGAGGGUCCAGCUAUGUAACAUACCACAUUCUUUUAUAUUUUCCUAAUCCAUCAUUAUAUUUAACUUAAAACAAGUGCAAUGGCUAAGAUGUUUCUGUUGGGUUAUUAACAUUAUACUCCCCAAUAUUUGCUACAAAAUUAUAAAAGGAACAAAGCUUAAAAUAUUGACACAUAAAUCCACAAAUUUACAAUUUAUUAUUCAAUAAUAUUAAAACAUUUUAAUUAUAUUUAAAAUAUAAUUAAAUAAUGUAUUACUUAAUUAUAUUAUAACAUUUAAUAAGUAAAAAUUGAUUAUUAUUUAACAACUUAAUAUAACUAAUAAUAAAUACUUAAAUAAUAUUUAAAAUAAAAAUAUAAUAUAAUAUUACGUUAUUUAAUUAUAUUAUAAUAUUAGUAUAUAAAAAUUAAUUAUUUUUUAAAUAUUUAAUAAAAAAUAAUAAAUACUUAAAUAUUAAUAAAUUGAAUAAUAUUAAUUUAAAAUUAAUAAUAAUCUAAAUAAUGAUAUAAAAUAUUAUUACUUAUACUAUAGUUAAUAUUGCACCAAACAUGAUAUUGUAUUACAGUUUAAUACACGUUAAUAACACACACCGUAAUACAAUGCAGCUAAUGUAAUACAAUAUAUUGUGUCAAAUGACCUUGUUAAUUUCACCGAUAAAUUAAUUUAUUCUUAUAUAUGAAUUAAUAUUUUUAAAUUAAUAGUCUUUCUUAUUAAUUAAUUAAUUUAAUAUAUAAUAAAACCAUGUAUUAAAUACAAACCAUAUUUUAUGAUAAAUAUGAGUAUGAAAUUGAUCUUUUGUUCUUAAUUUGUAGUUAAUAUUUGUUUCAUAAUCUUAUUCAAUUUGCAGUAAAUAAUUUCAAUAUGUAAUAAAAAUAUAUUAAUUCACCAAUUAAUAAUUUUUUUUAUCGUUUAAUAAGAAGGUAUCAAAAAGUUUAGAAGCUUUUAAUAAGAAUUUGGAGGCAAAGCCAUUUUAUGCUCCAUACUUAUUUGAAAACGUUUUUCACAUCUCAUGUUUGAUAAAUUUGAGUUAGUAAUAGAAUUUAGUUGCUAAUUGCUAGAGAUGUGGAACUGAAACUAGUGGGCAUGUAAAGAAUCCAAUAAGUUUUUUUAUAUCAUUUUAAUUAAUUUAUUUAGUAUGAAUAAAAAAUUAUUUUUAUCAAGAAUAUAUUUGACUUAGGUAAGUGUAUGGAGUAGAUUUUCUUUUUAAAACUUUAAAGAUGGGUGUGUGAAUUAAUAAUUAAAAAAUAUCCUCACCUUUUGAUUUAAGUUUAAAAAAUCAAAAUAAGUAGGACUAAUGAGUCAAAAUAUAGUAUUAUCUGAUUAUUUUCUAAUUUUAGAAUAAAACGGUGAUUGCAGUGUAAUUAACCCAAAAGGACAAAAAAAGGUGGUAUGUUAACCACGGUGGUAACAUAGUAGGAUCCUAGAUGAUAUUAUUACUUUUUUCAAACAUGCAUGUGACAAAGUCAUGUGUGCACUUAUAUUAGGACGAUAAAAUUAACUCUAAAAAUCAAAGUAAAAUUGCCAAUUAAAUUAAUUUAUUACCUUUUUGACAUGCACAAAAGUCGUGAAAGAAGAGAAAUGUAGCAAGAGUAGCAACAAAUGACAAUCUCAGGCACCCAAGAUCCAUGAUUUGAUGAAAUAACAGCUCUCGGUGAGACCUUUUGAUCAAUUAAUUAAUUACACACACACACACAUAUAUAUAUAGGGGGAUUACUGUUGUCGAAUAAGAAGGCAACAAGCUUUGAUACGGUGACGACAAAUUCUGCAUGCACAACGAUUUCUUGCUCACUUUGUCGGGUAAAUGGAAGCUAAAUUUCCUCAGAAGCGCACACAAGGAAUCAGAGAAAAUGCGAUGCCGCCAAGCCGGAGUCCGCGAAUUUUACACAAGCAACAUUGGAAUGAGCUACUAUUUAAUUUGCACAGAAUUGAGAGGUUGGAGAGAUAGAACUGAGUUUCAAUGAACAAAUGAAACUGAUGAAGCUGUAUUUAUUACUUCAGCUGAAUAUCAAGGUGCCUAUUUGUACAUGAAAUGAGACUAUGAGUGAGAGAAGCAGUCGAUACUUGUAAGUUGCGUGUGAGAGGGCUGAACCUUACAGAUGCUGUAAGGUAGCCCUCUCCUUUCACUAAGGCUACACCAACCAACUGAUACAACUCAUCACUAUUACCAAUUAAUUACGCUUGAUAAUAUCUUCUAAUGCCUUGAUUUUUGGUGCAUAUUUUUGGAAUUAAUGGAGAUUAUGAAAUUACGCCGACUGGUUGUACAAAAUUGUCUUGAUUUCUGGCCAUUAGAUUUUAUUGAUUAAUGAUUUUAGCAAACGGGAUACUUUUUAAUAAAACUCUCUUAUCAAUACUAUGAAGUAAUCUGAGUGUUUUAACUUGUUUUGAGCGUAAGUAUAUAAAUUGUGCCACUACAAAAUUGAUUUAGGAAUUUUUAAUAAAUAUUUCAAUUGUAAACAUCUGUAUGUAUGUCUGUAAUAUAAUAUUAGAAAAACCGAUAUAUGCAGACUUUGACAUCACAAAGUUAAUUAAGUUCUUAUAUAUAUAUAUAUAUAUGAUGGUAAACAUCAAUAUAUUUGUAAUGAAAAAUGAAAUAUAGGGGAAAAAUAAAAUUAAAAAUAUAAAAAGGUAUGGGGAAGAUAAGCUUAGGUUAAUGCGUGGGGUAGGGGGGAUCGCAAGUUCAGCAUCAGUUGGAUGGAAUCUAAAUAAAUGAACUUCCCGGAAAUUUCAAGCAAUGCAUUGAUUACAAGCCACCAAUGUCUGUGGCUAAGAGUGUCACAAGAGCAUCUCCUCCUCCACGGCUAAAGAUCCUCUCCUUAUCGAAAUUUUUAUAAGUUUUUAAAGAUUUUAUGUUAUGUAUUUUUAAGUGAUAGUGUAUAGAUAGAAUUUAAUUUUUUUAUUUUUUUAUUUAUUAACUACCAAUUACAUAUAUAUAUUUUUACUUAGGAGAAGAUCAGAUUAUGAGAGAAUCUUGAUCCCUCCUCCACAGCCUGUGCUUUCGGUACAUUAUACACGAUGAAAGCAGAACACGUUAAUUUCACUGCUUGAUUAUGUGGUGCUUUUCCAUUUUUGAUUUCUUUGUUUAAUGUGCAGGUCUCGGUGCAUGUGCAAGAGAUCGUUAAAGAAUAUAUUUACUUCUAAAUGUAUAAUGUUGAAAGGAUUAGUAGUACAUAUAUAUAUCUUAAGAAAAAGAAAUUAAGAACAUGUUAUUUUGCGUGUCUAGAUCUUCGCUGGUGUAAACAAAUAAAAGUUUCAUAUAAUUAACCAAAAAUGGGUCGAUAAAAGUGACAUUGGCAUGACGAGAAGCUUUUGAUUAGUGUCAACGCACUCUCCACCAGAAAUGGCUGCAAAAGUGACAAUCAAUAUCAAUAUUACUGUAAGAUUACAUGUAUCAUCUUUUGCGGCGACUUACGUGCCCAUUCUGAAAUGACACACCUCUGGAACAGCAUAUAAUUAUUUACUCGUUCUCUUUGAGGAUGAGAUGGUCUUGUCGUUAUCAAAAUUAUGAUUGGUCAAUUUGAAAGUAAGAGUGUGUGAUAAAAUUCUUUGAAGACACUGUUAAGUCUUUUAUAUACUAGAAAGCACAUAGAUACGUCAUACACUGUAUAAUGUUGUUCGGUACUCAUAAAUUUUCAUUCAUGACCCUUAAAAUAUUGAUGAUGUAUUUAUUAUAUGAAUUUACAAUCUAAAAAUUUAGCGUGUCAACAAUAGUAAAAUUUUGGGCAUAUAACCAGAUUUUUUAGGAUGUAGUGAGGGCACUGCACCAAAGUUAGGAUACCAUAUUUCUCAAUUAAAGAUUUUAUUUUUUAAAAAAAAAAACUUGAGUAACAUAAAACUUUGCAUUUUCCGAAAAUAAAACCACCUUCAAACUCACUUUCCAUAAAUGCAGUUUAUUAACUUUUUUUUAUUUAUUACAAAUUCAAUAAAACUCACAAAAUUCAAAUAUUCCCUAUUAUUAUUAUUUUUUAAAAAAAGUUCAAAUCAACGAAAAAAAAAUCAAAUUAACAUAUAUAUGAUGAUGAUUGACAUUACUUUGAAUCGUUACUUGCAAGUCUCUCACUCAGAAUCCUGACUCCCAUGUACCUGCAACACAUCACAACACAACAAAUUAAUUAAACCUCACAUAAACUUACCAAAAUCUUGCUUACGUAUUUGCUUGUGGUCAGGUUAACGUACCUUCCAAGCAUCAUGACCGUUGCUUGCGGAUUAGUCCCCGGGGAGUAAUAAAACGUGGAUCCGUCGAUGACCCUCAAUGCAUCGACCCCAAGAACCUUAUAAUCAUGAUCAACAACCUUACCAACCUGGCAACCUCCAUGAUAAUGCCAUAUGGUCAUCACUGUGUCCCUGCAAAAUUGUUCCAGUGAUGUUGAUGAAUUGCUGUGUCUGGGCAGCAAAUUGACCGGGGCACUGGCAGUCAUGUUUACCAGUGUUGGCACUGACAUACUCUCGUAUUUAAACUUAGAAAAAGAUUUUGAUUCAAUUAUUUUCUCUAUGGUUGAAAUGCCCUGUACACAUCUUUGUAAGUCUUCAGGUUCCUUGAAGUAAUUGAACGUGACGGACGGGUUAUCGUUCGGGUUUCGGGUUCGGAGCUCCAAAUGGCCCGUGGAUACUGGGCCCAUAACCUUUUCGAGAAUGAAUCCGCCUCUGAAAGCUGGAUCAUCAAGUGCUUUCAUGUUUUCAAUUGCUUCGGCUAUAGCCUCUGGGGUCCUUUGUUUGGGAGGCACUUUAGACAGCUGUCCAAUCUGCAUGUGCGAACAAAUAUUUUUGGAAAAUCAGCGUAAUGUACCAUUUUACCCUCAAUCAUGCAGAUGUUGAGGGUUCUUGAGGAAGCAGAUGAGGGCCAUUUAUAGUUAACACACUGGACUUCAAAUGAAAUUACGUAAAGGCCUGUUUACAAACGAAUUACUUUGCUACUAGGCUAGCCCAAAAGGGGAUGAAUACUUGUACCUUGGGAGAGAACAUGCCAUAGUCUCUUGGCGAUGGCGACCCACCGGCGAAGUUUUCGCCACUUGCGGCUUCUAUGUAGCUUCCAAACUGGGUAAUUCCGACGACCUGGAUGAGGGAAACCUCCACCGGAACAGGGGACGGUACAAAAAUGGCAUUCAUGGGAUUAUCAGACAUCCCCUGACCAACCAAGGGCUGGUCCAACACAACCGUGAUGUUAUGGGCCUUGAGGUGGUCUGCUGGGCCCACUCCGCUCAACAUUAAAAGUUGUGGGCUUCCCAGUGCUCCAGCUGACACGAUGAUCUCAUUCUUAGGCCCAUUCUUGAGAUAUGCUCUGUGUUUGGCCCCGGUUGCAUCUCUGAAGACAACUCCAUGGGCCUGUGGCCUUGCCUUUCCUGUUUAAAACUUCAAUGUCAAUCAAUCAUCAAGAUUGAUAGUAAUAGCCAACCAUUGGUCAAUCUCUUACGGGUCACAUUCACAUACCUUUAAUUCUGAACAGAACCUUGUGCACGGUGGCAUGCAAGAGCAAAGUGAGGCCACUGGGAUUAGCAUACUCCAGCAAAUCAGCAGCUGUGUGUCUUUGGCCAUUUUGAUCAAAUAUUGUCCCACCAAUCUUCGUGCCAUACAAAUGAUCGUAAGUGAAGCCAUUGUACGGCAACACCCCUACCUCUACCAGCCCAUCUCUGACGGCCGACUGCCACUGCCGCAUCGGCGGCUCGAAUGCCACCACCUUCUCCACCCACUGGUACGAUUCAUUCACCAAACGUUCAUCCCACCCCGUUUCUCUAAUUUACCAAAAGUAAAUAAAAUCAGAAAAAAAAAGUUCAGUGCAGUAAAAUUAGAGUUUAAAUUGAAGUUUAGCUCGUCUGUAAUAAUUUUAUACUUGAACCCCCUUGUAUCUUAAAUUACUAAAUAAUGGCCCUCUAAAGGUUGGCGUUUCUACAUUGCAUCCCUUGCCGAAUGGUAUUCACAAGCAUUACCACCAGUCAGUUACCUGACAUAAUAAGGCGCAGCGCGUGUGUAGAAGCCGGCAUUGAGGCAACUGCCACCUCCCAAAACGCGGGCACGGGAAUUGAUGACGCCAUCUUCGGAGAUGAAGCGCUGCGAGGGAGAGGUUGAGGAGAGAUCAGAGAGUGCAGCGCCAAAAGAACCCAAGUUGGUGAUGUUGGGGUUUCCGUAAGGCGAGCCACCGCGUUCAAGUAGCAACACGGAGGCGUUUU
Molecule: long non-coding RNA, 6471 nt
Filed under: Citrus x clementina
Lineage: Eukaryota; Viridiplantae; Streptophyta; Magnoliopsida; Sapindales; Rutaceae
Description: Citrus clementina (C. clementina) long non-coding RNA (CCLE_LNC003942)
Source: RNAcentral